Long non-coding RNA from Lynx canadensis (Canada lynx), 111 nucleotides. RefSeq lists it as uncharacterized. The record is from RefSeq and is a predicted model, not a curated record. The transcript has 3 exons. Lineage: Eukaryota; Metazoa; Chordata; Mammalia; Carnivora; Felidae.
GAAUAUUACUCAGCUGUAAAAAAAAGAAUGAACUCUUGUCAUUUGCAAGCACAUGGACGGACAUAGAGAGUAUAAUGCUAAGUGACAUAAGUCAGAGAAGGGCAAACACCA